RNAcentral lists this long non-coding RNA (2760 nucleotides) under Homo sapiens (human). RNAcentral's name for it is "non-protein coding lnc-ZNF138-3:3". Lineage: Eukaryota; Metazoa; Chordata; Mammalia; Primates; Hominidae. The record is from RNAcentral.
CUCGGCUUGGCGGCUGAGGAAUGACACUGCCCGAACACCUCGGAGGCCCCAUGGACCAUCAUGGACCUCGGGUAACUCUUAAGGUGGAGGGAAAGGUUGAAAGAGCCAACGGCCUCUUAAAAACUCACCCUCCAACUCCGAAAGGACUGGACUGUUCUCCUACCACUUGUGCUUCUCAGGAUCUGAGCCACCGCCCAUGAACCUACCAGAUACCCAGCCAUAUGAGGACACUCUGGCCAGACAGCCCAUCCUGAUAAAGAGCUUAACCCCCUGAUCUCUACAACCUCAGUGGACAGGACCCUUCCUGGUCGUUUAUGGUACCCCAAUGGCUGUCUGCUUACAAGAUCCUCCUCAGUGGAUUCACCCUUCCAGAGUAAAGCUGUGUCCAUCUGACACUCAGCCUGACCCUUCUUCCUCCUCUUGGAAGUCGCAAGUACUCUCCCCGACCUCGUUAAAACUCACCGAAAUCCCUGAAGAAACUUAAAUGUCCUGCUCCUGUCCGCCCUGCUUCUUCACCCUCUUCCUCCACUCUAUUUGCCAAGACAUCUCCUGGUUUCAUCCCCAAACUCCCACCUUAGAUUCUCUCUUAAACUGGAUAGAUGAUCUCAUCUUUUAGGGCACUCUGUAUAACUUCUUCCCAGAUGAGACGCCUCUGUUUACCUUCCUACUCACUCUUUAUCUAUCCCUCCUGCUCCUUUGGCUACCUGGCAUGGCCGCACUCCCACUUCCAGUAAUGCCUAAUUACCUCUACAAAACUCUCAACCCACUCUCUGUUAAACCAGUCCAACCCUUCUUUGGCAAAGGACGCUGGCUUUGCAUUUCUCUAUCAGCUACCACUUACGUUGCCACUCUCAUUCCCACAAAAAACUGGGUAGUUACUAGCUUAACCUACCACCCUCGUAAUGAAGGAAAAAGCCCCUUCUAACUCCUACAUAUGCAGUCAUUGGCCAACUUCUCCAUCAAUGAAAUGACCGAAAAUACCCUGACAGGUCGUGCAGUUCAACUUUUACGCUCCUACAUGUCCAGCCUCACCCAUUACACAAGUAAUGAAAAGCCCAUACACGGCCCUGUGACUACAAACGCUGUCUUAACUUUCCAAGCCCCUUUAUGCAUCCAACACAACCUGUCAUCAGGCCUACCUCUAGGUCACCUACUGUUCCAUCAGUGCAACUACGCCUUGCAGCUUCAAGCCCCAACUGACUGUAUUAACUUCCAGGUCUCCCAAACAGCUACAUUCAAACAGCCUGUCCGCUUCUCAAAGCCCCCAGAAGUCAUCAGCACCUCUCUGCUUAACAAACAAUCCGGGUUUUGUAAUGGCAGGCAUACGCACUGCAUGACCAUUCACCCCUGGACCUCCUGCAGCAGCACUCCCACCACUGACGAAUGCCUCCUUAUCCCCUCUUUCGAUUACCCUUCUGAGUGGCUCCUAGUAGAUACAAAAUGAUUUUUCCUCCAAUGGGAAAAUAAAACACAGGGAGCCACUCAGCUUAUCCCAAACAUCCCUUUUCAGCCGCUCACUGGGGCCGCCUUGGCAAGUACCCUAGGGGUGUGGGAAAAUGAAAACAAAUUCACACACCUUUUUAACAUACACAGCCAGUUCUGCCUACCCAGCCAAGGCAUAUUCUUCUUGUGUGGAACUUCAACCUAUGUCUGCCUCACCACUAACUGGACAAGCACCUGUACCCUAAUCUUCCUAAGCCCCAAAAUUGACAUUGCCCCUGGAAACCAAACCUUACCAGUCCCUGUCAGAGCCCAAGUCCAUCAGCAUAGGGCUGUGCAGAUAAUACCCUUGCUUAUAGGACUAGGAGUUACCAAUGCCACAGGAACUGGAAUAGCAGGUUUGUCCCCUUCCCUGUCCUACUAUCAUACACUCUCAAAGGAUCUCUCAGACAGCCUACAAGACAUAGCAAAAUCCACCCUUACUCUCCAAUCCCAAAUAGACUCCUUAGCAGCAGUAACUCUGCAGAACCACCGUGGCUUAGACCUCCUAACCGUCGAAAAAGGUGGGCUAUGCACCUUUUUAGGGGAAGAUUGUUUUUCCACCAACCAGUCUGGACUAGUACGAGAUGCUGCCUCGCAGUUAAAUGAAAAGGCUUCUAAAAUCAGACAAUGUCUUUCAGACUUUUAACACCAAUCUUUGGAGCUGGGCGUUGUGGCUUCUCCCUAUAGCUGGGCCCCUCAUUUCCAUCAUUCUCCUUCUCCUAUUUGGACCCUGCCUCUUCCGUCUAGCCUCUCAGUUCCUACAAAAUCUCAUUCAAGCUAUUACCAAUCAAUCUAUGCGACAAAUGCUACUCCUAACUGCCCCUCAAUGUCACCCCCACCCCAAGAUCUCUCUCCCAAUUAGGAGUCCAUGCCGCCCCAAGUCCCGCUCGAAGAAUCCCUGAGAAACAUCACCCCGUCCACUUCUUUUCUUAUUAAAACAAAAAGACAGGAAUGUCAUAUCCCACAAAUAUGGCUGCAUUAUUGCCAGCAGGCCAUUAUUGACGGUGGGCCAUUAAGAACUCUGUGACCAGCACAUAUGCCUCCAGACUUCCUGGAACCAGAAAACCUGCAACAACCAAAAACCACAAAAGAAGAACAACGGGUUUCUGUUCCAACUGGUUGAUCAACUUCUUGAGUCAACAAGUCCCAAAACCAUGUUGUAAUUUUCCACCCGCCACUUUGCCCUGUAAAGACUGCUCUCCCUCACACCUCCGGGCUGACUCCCUUUUCCGAUUCAGCCCACUAACACCCAAGUGAAUAAACGGCCUUGUUGCUCAC